AACGAACGCUGGCGGCAGGCUUAACACAUGCAAGUCGAGCGCCCCGCAAGGGGAGCGGCAGACGGGUGAGUAACGCGUGGGAAUCUACCCAUCACUACGGAACAACUCCGGGAAACUGGAGCUAAUACCGUAUACGUCCUUCGGGAGAAAGAUUUAUCGGUGAUGGAUGAGCCCGCGUUGGAUUAGCUAGUUGGUGGGGUAAUGGCCCACCAAGGCGACGAUCCAUAGCUGGUCUGAGAGGAUGAUCAGCCACACUGGGACUGAGACACGGCCCAGACUCCUACGGGAGGCAGCAGUGGGGAAUAUUGGACAAUGGGCGCAAGCCUGAUCCAGCCAUGCCGCGCGAGUGAUGAAGGCCCUAGGGUUGUAAAGCUCUUUCACCGGUGAAGAUAAUGACGGUAACCGGAGAAGAAGCCCCGGCUAACUUCGUGCCAGCCGCCGCUGUAA
RNAcentral lists this ribosomal RNA (447 nucleotides) under uncultured bacterium. RNAcentral describes it as "partial 16S ribosomal RNA". It matches the Rfam family "Bacterial small subunit ribosomal RNA", at positions 29 to 523 of the family's 1533-position model. The record is from RNAcentral.